ACUCUUAUCUCCAAUGCCGAUAUACAGGCCCUCCUGUUUUAAACUGUAUUUGAACCCCAUUUCCCUUGUAUAUUUUAUUUUCUUUUUCCAAUGAGCCUUAUUUAUAUAUCGUGACUUAUUCUUAUCCAACCUGCCAAAGGUACUUCUGACACAAAUGACGGGCUCGAUAUCUAUGACAACACGGAAGUUGUUUACAAACCUCCUGUACCUGCCCCGGAAGAAUAUCGCGGCCCUAUAAUUUUUCAUCCAUUGGCUGACUCAGGACGUUCCUUUUGCCACACUUAUCUCCAACCCCAAUUUACACGCCCUCCUGUUAUAAACUGUAUGUAAAUCCCAUCACCCUUGUUUAUUGUUCUCUUUUUCCAUAUGAGCUUUAUUUAUAUAUCGUGACUUAUUCUUAUUCUCCCUGCCAAAGGUACUUCUGACACAAAAGACGGGCUCGAUAUCUAUGACAACACGGAAGUUGGUUACAAACCUCCUGUACCUGCCCCGGAAGAAUAUCGCGGCCCUAUAAUUUUUCAUCCAUUGGCUGACUCAGGACGUUCCUUUUGCCACACUUAUCUCCAACCCCAAUUUACACGCCCUCCUGUUAUAAACUGUAUGUAAAUCCCAUCACCCUUGUUUAUUGUUCUCUUUUUCCAUAUGAGCUUUAUUUAUAUAUCGUGACUUAUUCUUAUUCUCCCUGCCAAAGGUACUUCUGACACAAAAGACGGGCUCGAUAUCUAUGACAACACGGAAGUUGGUUACAAACCUCCUGUACCUGCCCCGGAAGAAUAUCGCGGCCCUAUAAUUUUUCAUCCAUUGGCUGACUCAGGACGUUCCUUUUGUCACACUUAUCUCCAACCCCAAUUUACAC
Molecule: long non-coding RNA, 856 nt
Filed under: Daucus carota (carrot)
Lineage: Eukaryota; Viridiplantae; Streptophyta; Magnoliopsida; Apiales; Apiaceae
Description: long non-coding RNA (DCAR_LNC005955)
Source: RNAcentral